CGGAGAAGGAGUUUGUGGACGUGGAGUACAUCAUAGAGAGUUUACCAGACAGGGGGCGGUCAUGUUGGCAUCUGGGCGCAGUGUGGAUACUUAGCCAGUUCCAGGACAACGAGCUAUAUCUUGGCACGUAUCCUGAUGAACAUUUCAUAGAGCAGCCUGUCAAGGAGGCCAUGGAAAAUUUCCAGAAGAAUCUCCAAGAAAUUUCAAAUCGCAUUGCAGAAAGAAACAAGAAUAAGAAGCUGCCUUAUUAUGAUGCAUCUCCAGACAGAAUCCCCAACAGUGUUGCGAUGUAGGCGUUGGGGGCAGGGGGGUCCUUUCUGGUGUUCUGGAACUAGUGCUCUGUCUGCUUGGUCCAUGUGUGCUGCCCACUCUCUUUGUUUGCCUUCAGCCAGCAACCUGUGAGGACAAUCUUCAUCGAGGUCUUUGAACUGCUUUCUGCUCGAAUCUUGCUGAGGAGAUGUGAUGGCGGAUCCAGCAGUGCCAGCCUCUGGCGCACUGGAUGAGACCUUCUCCUUCAACUCAUCAGACCAGCAAAUGCAUCAGCUCAGCUUGUUCCAGUUUUGUUGCCAUUUCAUAACUUGUUCACAUUUGCUUUUAUCACUUUGAAUGGAACCACUGGUGACAAGGCAGCACUUAAACCCCAUCCAAAAUAUCUCAAGUAGUUGAUGGCAAAAUGCUGUGGUUCUCCCUACUCUGUCAGAUGGAGAAUCACAUCAUCUUGAAGGAGUUACAGGUUAAUAUCAGCAUCGUAAGUCUACUGAUCGUCAUCACAACCCAUCUGGUUUGGAAGGGAACCUGCCAUUCAUGAAGAAACGAGGAACUGCAGGUGCUGGUUUACAGAAAAAUACACAAAGUGCUGGAGUAACUUAGGGUCAAACAGCAGGGAUAAAUGUUCUGCAGAGAUGGUGCCUGACCCACUGAGUUACUCCAGCACUUUGUGACUUAACCUGCUGUCCAUGCCCUGUCUGGCCCUUGUGAUCCGGGCCCAUCAAUGUGGGGCUGCCU
Long non-coding RNA from Amblyraja radiata (thorny skate), 1005 nucleotides. RefSeq lists it as uncharacterized. The transcript is spliced from 3 exons. Lineage: Eukaryota; Metazoa; Chordata; Chondrichthyes; Rajiformes; Rajidae. The record is from RefSeq and is a predicted model, not a curated record.